UGACUGCGUACCUUUUGUAUAAUGGGUCAGCGACUUAUAUUCUGUAGCAAGGUUAACCGAAUAGGGGAGCCGGAGGGAAACCGAGUCUUAAUUGGGCGUUAAGUUGCAGGGUAUAGACCCGAAACCCGGUGAUCUAGCCAUGGGCAGGUUGAAGGUUGGGUAACACUAACUGGAGGACCGAACCGACUAAUGUUGAAAAAUUAGCGGAUGACCUGUGGCUGGGGGUGAAAGGCCAAUCAAACCGGGAGAUAGCUGGUUCUCCCCGAAAGCUAUUUAGGUAGCGCCUCGUGAAUUCAUCUCCGGGGGUAGAGCACUGUUUCGGCUAGGGGGCCAUCCCGGCUUACCAACCCGAUGCAAACUGCGAAUACCGGAGAAUGUUAUCACGGGAGACACACGGCGGGUGCUAACGUCCGUCGUGAAGAGGGAAACAACCCAGACCGCCAGCUAAGGUCCCAAAGUCAUGGUUAAGUGGGAAACGAUGUGGGAAGGCCCAGACAGCCAGGAUGUUGGCUUAGAAGCAGCCAUCAUUUAAAGAAAGCGUAAUAGCUCACUGGUCGAGUCGGCCUGCGCGGAAGAUGUAACGGGGCUAAACCAUGCACCGAAGCUGCGGCAGCGAACGUAUCACCCAAGACAACUUUACGGAGUUGACGAUUGACGGAGCGAAGCGACGUCAAAGCGUUCAUUAAAGUCGAGUUGGCUUAGGGAUACGUUCGUUGGGUAGGGGAGCGUUCUGUAAGCCUGUGAAGGUGUGUCGUGAGGCAUGCUGGAGGUAUCAGAAGUGCGAAUGCUGACAUAAGUAACGAUAAAGCGGGUGAAAAGCCCGCUCGCCGGAAGACCAAGGGUUCCUGUCCAACGUUAAUCGGGGCAGGGUGAGUCGACCCCUAAGGCGAGGCCGAAAGGCGUAGUCGAUGGGAAACGGGUUAAUAUUCCCGUACUUGGUGUUACUGCGAAGGGGGGACGGAGAAGGCUAUGUUGGCCGGGCGACGGUUGUCCCGGUUUAAGCGUGUAGGUGUGUGUUCCAGGUAAAUCCGGUUCACUUUAACACUGAGGCGUGACGACGAGGCACUACGGUGCU
RNAcentral lists this ribosomal RNA (1075 nucleotides) under Salmonella enterica subsp. enterica serovar Typhimurium. RNAcentral's name for it is "partial 23S ribosomal RNA". It matches the Rfam family "Bacterial large subunit ribosomal RNA", at positions 594 to 1586 of the family's 2925-position model. The record is from RNAcentral. Lineage: Bacteria; Pseudomonadati; Pseudomonadota; Gammaproteobacteria; Enterobacterales; Enterobacteriaceae.